ACUCCUACGGGAGGCAGCAGUGGGGAAUUUUGGACAAUGGGCGCAAGCCUGAUCCAGCCAUGCCGCGUGCAGGAUGAAGGCCUUCGGGUUGUAAACUGCUUUUGUACGGAACGAAAAAGUGCCUUCUAAUAAAGGGCG
Molecule: ribosomal RNA, 138 nt
Filed under: uncultured Acidovorax sp.
Lineage: Bacteria; Pseudomonadati; Pseudomonadota; Betaproteobacteria; Burkholderiales; Comamonadaceae
Description: partial 16S ribosomal RNA
Rfam family: Bacterial small subunit ribosomal RNA
Source: RNAcentral